Molecule: long non-coding RNA, 327 nt
Organism: Ixodes scapularis (black-legged tick)
Lineage: Eukaryota; Metazoa; Arthropoda; Arachnida; Ixodida; Ixodidae
Exons: 3
Source: RefSeq, a predicted model, not a curated record
GCGCGCGGCUGUCGUGCAUGGUUUCGGAUCGGAACUCGUCGUCGCUGCUGUUUCAUCUGGAUUACUCUAAAACGACAAAUCUUCACAAGCUUGGUUCUGAGUCCGAGUUGAGGUUCCAAAGGCAAGUGUCUGCUCUCGUGGACGUCGGGAUCAAUGCAGUCAACACCUUUUCGGAUAUGCACGGAAAACGCUGUACCUCCUCACAUUGAGCGACACCUGAAGCAAGCUGGAGCGAAGUACCUCUUGACCAACCAGGCAGAGGUGCCAGACAGGCCCACUUCGUCGGUCCAUCACAUAUACGCAACAGCUGAGAAGACUGUGAUUUAC